This 478-nucleotide ribosomal RNA is filed under the name uncultured bacterium. RNAcentral describes it as "bacterial SSU rRNA". It matches the Rfam family "Bacterial small subunit ribosomal RNA", at positions 30 to 506 of the family's 1533-position model. The record is from RNAcentral.
UUGAACGCUGGCGGCAUGCUUUACACAUGCAAGUCGAACGGUAGACCCUUUCGGGGGUUGAGAGUGGCGAACGGGUGAGUAAUGCAUCGGAACAUACCCAGUCGUGGGGGCUAACGUAGCGAAAGUUACGCUAAUACCGCAUGAGUCCUGAGGGAGAACGCGGGGGAUCGCAAGACCUCGCGCGAUUGGAGUGGCCGAUGUCAGAUUAGCUAGUUGGUGGGGUAAAGGCCUACCAAGGCGACGAUCUGUAGCGGGUCUGAGAGGAUGAUCCGCCACACUGGGACUGAGACACGGCCCAGACUCCUACGGGAGGCAGCAGUGGGGAAUUUUGGACAAUGGGGGCAACCCUGAUCCAGCCAGUCCGCGUGAGUGAAGAAGGCCUUCGGGUUGUAAAGCUCUUUCAGCAGGAACGAAACGGUGGCCAUUAAUACUGGCUACGAAUGACGGUACCUGAAGAAGAAGCACCGGCUAACUACGU